ACCCCGAGGUAAGAUUCUCAUCGAGAAGUCCUCAAACGGGAAUCAGACAUGCUAACCAGUACUUCACCUUGCAGCAAAUGCCACUCGCAAAAAGAUUCAGUGAACUUUUAAGAAAGAUAAUGCAAGUGGAAAUAACUGCUCCGAGAUAGGUUAGCAUAGCUUGCCUGUCUAAACCUCUCACAAAAAGAUUCAGCUAAUUUAUAGGCAAGAUAAUGCUGGUGGAAAUAAGCGUUCAGAGAGGUUAGCAUAGCUUGCCUGUCUAAACCUGCGUCUUAAAAUGGGGGCGUUGGCUUGACUUGACAUCAAUCAAGCCUCUGAGACAUCUGCUGCAACAUCUCGACAAC
Molecule: long non-coding RNA, 344 nt
Organism: Hippocampus zosterae (dwarf seahorse)
Lineage: Eukaryota; Metazoa; Chordata; Actinopteri; Syngnathiformes; Syngnathidae
Exons: 3
Source: RefSeq, a predicted model, not a curated record